CUGUGAGGCAUGCUGGAGGUAUCAGAAGUGCGAAUGCUGACAUAAGUAACGAUAAAGCGGGUGAAAAGCCCGCUCGCCGGAAGACCAAGGGUUCCUGUCCAACGUUAAUCGGGGCAGGGUGAGUCGACCCCUAAGGCGAGGCCGAAAGGCGUAGUCGAUGGGAAACAGGUUAAUAUUCCUGUACUUGGUGUUACUGCGAAGGGGGGACGGAGAAGGCUAUGUUGGCCGGGCGACGGUUGUCCCGGUUUAAGCGUGUAGGCUGGUUUUCCAGGCAAAUCCGGAAAAUCAAGGCUGAGGCGUGAUGACGAGGCACUACGGUGCUGAAGCAACAAAUGCCCUGCUUCCAGGAAAAGCCUCUAAGCAUCAGGUAACAUCAAAUCGUACCCCAAACCGACACAGGUGGUCAGGUAGAGAAUACCAAGGCGCUUGAGAGAACUCGGGUGAAGGAACUAGGCAAAAUGGUGCCGUAACUUCGGGAGAAGGCACGCUGAUAUGUAGGUGAAGUCCCUCGCGGAUGGAGCUGAAAUCAGUCGAAGAUACCAGCUGGCUGCAACUGUUUAUUAAAAACACAGCACUGUGCAAACACGAAAGUGGACGUAUACGGUGUGACGCCUGCCCGGUGCCGGAAGGUUAAUUGAUGGGGUCAGCGCAAGCGAAGCUCUUGAUCGAAGCCCCGGUAAACGGCGGCCGUAACUAUAACGGUCCUAAGGUAGCGAAAUUCCUUGUCGGGUAAGUUCCGACCUGCACGAAUGGCGUAAUGAUGGCCAGGCUGUCUCCACCCGAGACUCAGUGAAAUUGAACUCGCUGUGAAGAUGCAGUGUACCCGCGGCAAGACGGAAAGACCCCGUGAACCUUUACUAUAGCUUGACACUGAACAUUGAGCCUUGAUGUGUAGGAUAGGUGGGAGGCUUUGAAGUGUGGACGCCAGUCUGCAUGGAGCCGACCUUGAAAUACCACCCUUUAAUGUUUGAUGUUCUAACGUGGACCCGUGAUCCGGGUUGCGGACAGUGUCUGGUGGGUAGUUUGACUGGGGCGGUCUCCUCCUAAAGAGUAACGGAGGAGCACGAAGGUUGGCUAAUCCUGGUCGGACAUCAGGAGGUUAGUGCAAUGGCAUAAGCCAGCUUGACUGCGAGCGUGACGGCGCGAGCAGGUGCGAAAGCAGGUCAUAGUGAUCCGGUGGUUCUGAAUGGAAGGGCCAUCGCUCAACGGAUAAAAGGUACUCCGGGGAUAACAGGCUGAUACCGCCCAAGAGUUCAUAUCGACGGCGGUGUUUGGCACCUCGAUGUCGGCUCAUCACAUCCUGGGGCUGAAGUAGGUCCCAAGGGUAUGGCUGUUCGCCAUUUAAAGUGGUACGCGAGCUGGGUUUAGAACGUCGUGAGACAGUUCGGUCCCUAUCUGCCGUGGGCGCUGGAGAACUGAGGGGGGCUGCUCCUAGUACGAGAGGACCGGAGUGGACGCAUCACUGGUGUUCGGGUUGUCAUGCCAAUGGCACUGCCCGGUAGCUAAAUGCGGAAGAGAUAAGUGCUGAAAGCAUCUAAGCACGAAACUUG
RNAcentral lists this ribosomal RNA (1550 nucleotides) under Escherichia coli. RNAcentral's name for it is "partial 23S ribosomal RNA". It matches the Rfam family "Bacterial large subunit ribosomal RNA", at positions 1261 to 2796 of the family's 2925-position model. Lineage: Bacteria; Pseudomonadati; Pseudomonadota; Gammaproteobacteria; Enterobacterales; Enterobacteriaceae. The record is from RNAcentral.